GCGGCUCCGCUGGCGAAGGGGAAGCGCCGGGCCAAAACGUCGAGUCGGCGUGGUACCUCUCAGAUGGCACCGCCGUCGACGAGGCAGGUGGGCGGAUGGAUGCCGCCGCUGUUAACCGGAUGAAGCGGACGUUCCGGUUGCCGGGCUCGGUGAAGCUGCGCCCCCCGACAGCGGAUGAGAAGGCCUCGAUGCUCCCAGCGGGAUGUGCUGCCGUGCACGAGGCCAUAUUCCGCCAAGGAGUGACAUUCCCGCUAGUGCCCAAUCUCCAAAUUCUUGUGUGCGAGUUUGGCCUUGCCUUUGGGCAGAUCUGUCCCAACAUGUGGCGGUUGAUGUUGGCGAUGAACUCCUUGUGGCGCUUGUCGGGGUGCGAGGGGCCUACCGUGGCGGAAGUGCUUCACUUCUACGAGCUAGUGUAUGUGAAGCGCCGAGGUUGCAGAGGGUGCGUGAACCUGAGCCGCCGCCAGGGAGCGC
This 471-nucleotide long non-coding RNA is filed under the name Rosa chinensis. RNAcentral describes it as "sRNA RchiOBHm_Chr1g0325061". The record is from RNAcentral. Lineage: Eukaryota; Viridiplantae; Streptophyta; Magnoliopsida; Rosales; Rosaceae.